Long non-coding RNA from Columba livia (rock pigeon), 8112 nucleotides. RefSeq lists it as uncharacterized. Lineage: Eukaryota; Metazoa; Chordata; Aves; Columbiformes; Columbidae. The transcript is spliced from 4 exons. The record is from RefSeq and is a predicted model, not a curated record.
GAGACCCUCAUUCAGUUGGUCUUCCUUGAAGGAGUGGGUUUGAAGAGUCUCCUCCUUAGACUGGCAAUCUAAGUAACAUUCCUAGGGGACUGAGACACCUUGCUGACCCGCAAGUUCAGGGAAGGCUGAAGGUAGCUUGACAUCUACUGAAUCUUCUGAACAACCUUCUCCAAGUGUCUGCCUGGAGGUAUGUCCUCUGAGGGUGAGGAGGAGUGCCCACAUCCCAUACUGGGUAAGAUGAGCCCACCCUGAGCUGAUAUUGUGGUUUAUUCAGGAUGGUAACCUCCACUUGCACCUUGAACUUGCCCAGCUCAGGCAACUUAUUAGAGAAAGGAUGUACCACCACCAGCCAUUGGAAAAAGAAGGAAAAAUAGUUUAUCUUAAAAGCAUGCUCUCUUCUCCCCUGGUGAUCCCAAGGGUGGGAUGCCGGGGCAGAAGGCUGUGUUUCACAGAGGACACAUAGCUAUUCUGGGAACUACAAGGCAAGAACUAUUUCUGUCAUCCAGUCUGGGCAUUUGACUUCAAGCCUUGGUGUCUGCUCUGAGCAGAAGCACAGGAGGGGGCAGAGAGGACCAGGCAGAGCGAUGAUGCAGUGUUGCUGCUGGAUUAGCAAUAGUAUUAAUUCAAUAUUGUACCAAAGACCAGCGGGCUUGCAGCUGUCAUACCCUGUGGAGCACUGGCAGCCACGUCCCAUGGAUCUUGGUUCCAUCAGCCACCAGAUAUUCUUUUGGAAAUACCUGUAAGAGGUUGAUAUAUUGCUCUGCAGAACACUAUAAUUCAAUCCCAUUAUUAUGACCGUUCAUGUUACAGUAAGGCGUGAAGGUCUCAGCCAAGAUCAGAGCUGAAAACCUUUACAGCAAGAAGUGGUGCCAAUGCUCUCAGAAGUUGCUGCUUCAGUAUCAGCUUCACUGCUGCGUGUAAAUGCCGUUUCACAUUCAUGUGCAAGCUUGGAAACUUGAAUUCUGCAUUUAGAUCUUGCUCACAGCAGUGGUUCGGGAUUAUACCAGUGCCACCUCCAGCUUCUAAUAUAUUUUUAAUAGAUUCAUAGAUUUUAAGAGCGAGAAAGGAACCAUUAUAUCAUCUAGUAUCACCUCCUGCAUCUUGCAUGCUCAGGCUGUAAAAUUCACCCAGUUAUUUUCUGUUGAGUACUGAAGAAUAUCUUCUAGAAAUGCCUCUGUCCUUUAGCUGGGGAACACUUUGCCCCCUUCCCCUGGAAAUCUGCUUCAGUGGUUAAGCACCCUCACUUUUCCAAAACUGUAUGCUAUUUUAUUACUCAGAGAAUUUGGUGUCAAGAACUUUCUAACCACUAGUUUCUCCAAAGCUUUUCUCUACUGGUCUAGAGAUGCCUUGCCUUACUGGCAUUUUUAGAUUAAACUGCAAUUACUUCAUUUACUUUUUUUUUUUUACAUGAACUGAGGAGGUAACAGAAGAAAAUGAUAAUACUGUAUCUUGUUUUAUUAACUCCAGUGAUCAUUUCCUACUCUCACCACAGUUGUCAUUGCUUUUGGUUCAAGUCAGUGACCUGAGACCUAAGGUUCUGAAUUUUUAUACUUGUAUAAACUGGAAGCAUUCCAGCUCCUGCCCAAUAUUAUUUCUAUUAAUACUGUAUGCUAUCAUACCUCCUAAUCUCUCAACAUUUUCUUUUCAAGAAAAGCCAGCCAUGAACUACAUCAUCUGAGUUAAUUGUGGACUGUCCUCUUCCCAUUUUUUUCAAAAUAAUUUGAAGAGUUUCUGAGACUUGGGCAAAAGCUCCCAGCCAAAGGUCACCAACAUGAGUGCUGAUCGGCCAUUUCCAUUACCAUAAAAUUGUCUGUCAGGAAGAGACAACUCUUCUCAGGGAGUAAAACAAGAUAAGAGCAAAGGAACUACCCUGUGUCUUGCCUCUGAAGUGGUCAGCUGUGAAUGUAGAAGGAAAUAAUAUAAAAAACAAUGCCCUUCACAUGCCCUCUCAGUUCCCUCACUUAGUGGUAAACUAGUUUUCAGGGAUGGAGAUUUGCCCAUUAUUAUUUAAUCCCAGUGGCUGGCCUCCUAUAAACAUUUGCCCAUUUUUGAACCCAAUCCUACCCUGCAGCAGAGGAGGUUCCCCAAUUUAAGUACACUGUAUGGAAAGCACGACAGUUCCCUUUUUGAGAUUUAAACCAGUCACCCCAAAAUAUGGUGUACCUCUUCAUUCCUGUUCUUUGAACAUAUUUUUCUCUCUACUUUGCAGUUUUCAUAGCUGUAGAGUUCCCCCUCAGCCCAGAAGGUGUUUUGUUUCUGAACAGACCAGGCAUACCUAUUCAGAGCUUUUCACACCCAAGAGAUUUCAGUCUAAUGUCCUGGUUACACUGGAGCAGGAAUCCUAUGGAUGUGUAGAACACCAGAGACAGGACAUCCAGAGGUGGUCAUGGGUCCAGAAGGUGAGCAUGCAAGAGGCUGUCUAGCUUCAAGGCUGGGGUUAAAUAUGAUUUUCAGUCUGAUUGAACAGCAGCCCUACUUUUGUAGGUCAUGUUGGUUCCACCUGGUUUCACACCUCAGUUUUUCCUACCCAAUUAAUUCUCUGGAUGCACACUGCACCCACCAACAAUCUGCAGCAUGCCUCUGAAAACGUAUCUCUAGUAAUUACACAUUCACCUACGUAAGUGAAAAGCUUUUAUUGGCAUCUGAUGUGAUUUCUUUGUCAAAGACAAACAAUUUGUUUUACAUUUGGUAGGGAAGUGCUGGAUUUUAAGUGUAGCGAUCAUAGACGCAGCUGCCACCACCUUAUGUUCCAUUUCAAAUGAUUAAUAAUAUUUGUCACUUCCGAUGUGUCAUUGUUCUCUACUGCUGUACAGCAUGCUCUAAAUGAUGGCACUCUCUUUUGGAUUGGCCUGAUUAAUGAUGGAUGACUCUCUUUCAUUUUAUGGUAAGCCUCUUCUAACUGAAUGGCUUAGGUUAAAAGAGAACAACCUCCACCAAAUGUUAUGAAUUAUGCCGUCAUUUAAAACCUGUUUUCGGCCUCUUGUUGGUAACAAUUUAGUGACAAUACCUGAAGAAUUGAACUUAAUUACUUCUGAUCAUGCCCUGCUCCUCUGGAUAUAGAUAUACACUGUUUGGUUUUUUUUCCUUUAUGAUUUCAUUUUGUGCCCAGUGAUGAAAGCCUCCCUCUGUCAUUAUGCUUUAUGUCAAAGUGCUUUAUGUUCUACAACAGAUCAUUUCAACGCUGCAGAUGCCCAUCUUGCUCCUCAUGAAAACUGCUCAAAAUGCUACAAAACCCUUUAAUGAUUUAUCUUGUUUCCUAUUCACCCAUUUGAAGAGUUAGUUUGACGCAAUGGCUGCAGCACCAGCUUAUAACAAUGAGAUGGGUAUUCAGGCUAUACAUAGCUCUAUUGUUACGUGACCUGAGGCUUUGUUUUCACAUCAGUUGCUUGUCCUGUUACUUGCCAGCCUUGUUUAAUUAGCUGUAUGGUUCUGUAUGGCAAGGACUUUAGAACGUUAGUUAUUUGCUUAGUGCUCAGAACAAGGGUGCCUCUCUCUUAGGUAGUGUAAUGCACAGCAUAAAUAAUGCUAACAGUUUAACAGAAUAAAGCAAGGAUAUCCUCACAGUUUCCUCUCCUUCCUAAUUAAUAUUACCCUGGUAUUCUCUGUAGUUAGCAUUGGCAACCAUAUGCUAAUGGUAAUUGCUUACAAAAAGUAAUAGCAGAAGUUUAAGGGUUGACUACUGAAAUCAGUUACAGACCUGAAGAACAGGUUUCGUGCAUUAAAACCUGACCAAAGACAGCUUCUGCCUACAGAUGUUUCUCUAGGUGCCAUAUUUGCCACAACCGGUAAAGGAAUCUGCAGUAGGCUCGGUUGUCUCAUACUUCAGAACUGUCAACAUGAAAUGUAUAUAAAGAGCGAGACCAUGAAUCUUUAUACAGUCAGAACUGGUUUAAUGCAGAAGCAUUUUCUCUUCUGAGGCUCUGAUUAAGACUUUAUUUUCUCAGUCAUUCAAACCAUAAGCAGAUCCAACAUUUCUGGUCUUGAAAACAGACAUGGAAUUUCUUCUCACAAUACUAAAAUUUUGUCUUUUGGGCUAUCUCACUCACCUCCUUCUUCCCAUCCUGUCCGCAAGAAAUGAAGCGGCUUUUUUUAACCCUUUUUAAUAGAAGCAGUUAAUGCAGUCACCUAAAUUAAAGGCUUCUUUCCUUGAGUUCCUAUAGAAGUUAAUGUAAACACACGGUGAAAUUAGUAAAAAUUACUGAGCAGUUGCCUAGGAUGUACAAAACCUACAAGCUCUACACUGGGCUGCUCUGAGCAGCAUAAAAUGUAUUUAGGUCACCUCCUCCUACACUGCUGAACUUCCAAGAGUUUUCUACUUGAGAAAAAGAAUAAAAAAUGUUUAUUUUCAGGGAAAGGAAAUCUUUCCUUGGGUCAUGGGUUUUCCCCAGAGUUUUGGAUGGCAAUCAUUGCAAUCCUUUCUUUAUGGCUGACCUUCUGUAUCUUACUGUCUAAAGACGCUGCCCAAGACCACUGUGGAUUUCUGUUUUUAUUGGUGUAAAUACUCAAGAAAAGUACAUUUUUUCUUUAGGUAAGCAUACAGGCCCAAACACCAGGACAUAGCUAAAUCUUUCCAAUAUUAAUGAUAUAAUAUGCAGCACCCUGAGAAGCAGGGAAGUCCUCUUGCUAUGACAAACACAAUUUAAAUAAUAAACAGAAUAUAAAAAGGGAAGUGGACCAGGCAGAAUCAAGGUUUUAAAAAAAGUUAUAGUAAACUAGAACUAGCUUCUCAACAAUCAGUUCUAUUUUAUCCAUUUUACCCUUCCUUCUUGAAUCUUCUUGUCUGACACAUAUCCGUUGACUUCCAAGAGCCAAAGAAAGCGAAAAAUUUCAAAAAAAGCAUUUUUCUCCAUGAAAUCAACAGGUAUGACUGACAGUGCCCACGAACCAGCUCUGUUUAGUCAGAAAAUAUAAUUUUAAUACGGUAAUCUCAGAGUAUAUACAUGGCAUAUUGACUCAUGAUGUGUUACUCAAAUAUUGUAACGUGUUAUUGUAUUUGUGGAAAACUUCCUUCCUGAAGCUCAACUAGGCUCACGAUGUUUCAUGUUGACCUCGGAAACAGCCCACAGGCUUUCUGGUGAGCUCAUUUUUAGCCAGGUCUGACUCACUCGAGCUUUUUUACCAAAAGACAGAUUAAAUUAAUGGUGGUAGAAAUUUUCUUUAAUCAAAUUUGCUUGACCUUUAAACUCUAUAGGAAACCUUGGCUUUAAGAAACCAGAUGGCCUUCACAGAAUUAAGGUAUUUUUGCUUUCCUCCUACAUAAAAUGAGCAAAUUACAGACUUCAUUUCUCAGUCUAGACUGCUUUUAUUUUGGAGAACAAGGGAUGAAGAACCAUAAAAUGUCUAUGAAUGUGAGUGAAAGUACACAGUGAUUCACUGUAACAAUUUGCAGAACAACAUAAAAAUAGUGGUUGAAUCACAGCUGACCUUUCAGAAAAUGUAGAUCCUCAUCUACAUUUAAAAGGGUGCAGUAUACAAAAACCAGAGUGACACUGUCUUCAUUGUGUUACCCAAGUCCUGCAUCAGAAUUAAGGUAAUAGAAGGUUUUUUAUUCUGUAGGGUGCCAAACUAAAUUGAUCUAUUGUCUUUUUUUUUUUUUCUCCUCCAAAAUCUUAUACUCCCUCAGAUAGGUGACUUUAUUCAGAUUUUUGGGGUAGCUCCUUUAGCCCGGGUCUAAUUCCAGCAGAACACCAUUAUCACGUCUGAGGAAAUGGAGUGGACAUGGGAUUUUUUUUGUCCCCCCUUUUAUUUUUCUGAUGAGUCAUAUUUGGUGUUGCAGUCUGGAUCUGAGGAUAUGGUGCCAUAACUACUCCUUUCUCUCAUGCGGGUGAAAUCAAACACUGCUGCUCACCCAUUAAGCCCGCUGCGAAGUAGUUGAUGUACCAGCCUGCCUGAUGUGGUUUGAAUUCACUUUAAGUGCUUACUUCCCAAGGAGGAAAUUUGCUGUCUGGUUUUGAUGCAUUUAUUUAUAUGUAUAUGUAUGUGAAGAUCAAUGAUCUCAAAAGAGAGACUGGGAAAGACCUGGAAAUCCUCAGCUCUCACUGGAGAGGAAAAUCUGAACUUCCACACAUGAUCCAAUUCCAGCAGAUGAAGAAUGUGAACCCAGGUCUUCCACACCUCUGGAGAGUGUUUUAGAUACAGACUUACCAGCCCAAAAUUAAGAAUGAUCUUCCACAUCUCCAUGGCAUUUAGGAUAGGGAACAAGAUGCUCUGAGGAGAAGUUUUUCCCCAUAUAAAAAUAAGUAGAGGAGUUACUUUAUCUGUGCAUCAGAGCAAAGAGCAACAUUCCUACCUGGAAUGAUUUCCUCCUUAUAUGAAGAGCUGCUCAGAGGCACUCGCUCAGGUCCAGAAGCCACACAGCUGGUUAUCUCACCACUGCAAGAGGUCCAGCUGACACAACUGGAUCAUCUCAACUGGAGUGGAGGACAUUAGCUCUGAUAAACACACCGUGUGAUGUGCAGGUUUUAAGAUAAGAAAAGUGAGUUUUUCUUGGUCAAGAAUCAGAUGACACCUGUAGGUGAAUUUAAAGAAGUGCAGGGUUUCCAGAGACACCCUUGUCCUUCCUGAAACUGAUCUUCCUAUAGCACACAGGACACAUGAAGCCUUUGUCCACUUUCUGGCUGACUUCAUUAACAACUCUGCAUUGGAAGCAGUUUGUGAAGUUAGCUGUUAGUAGGUCUUAGAGAACUAUUUGAGUAACCAAUUAAAAAGAAUCAAUAAAGACAUGCUGUAUGGAAAAUUAAACAUGUUUGUAAUGAAGAACAAUAACACAGAACUAACAGUGGUGACUAUGCUACUUUUCUGUGUUAUCCCAUCAUUUGAGACAAUUACUGGUUUAUCAAAAUUGCAGUGAAAGGACAAAUUAAGCAUUAGUUGUACCAGUUAGGGUACAUUAACACCACAUUUGGUCACUCUGAAGGGAAGUGUUAUGUGGGAGACCAAAGAUACUAGACCAGCAAGGCAUGGAAGAGUUUGCCAUAAUUUUGCUCCUAUUAAAAGGCUGCUUAUUACAAUUGUAACAUGUUAUCGGUGAACUCUGAUGUAAAAAAUGUAUUUAGGUUAGGGUACAAUGUUCUUUUUUGUUCACCAUUGUGAAUUCUGUAUUCAUUAUUUUCUGCACUGGAGACAUUUCAGAAAUGUUUCAAUGCUUCCAAGCAUGUAAUAUCAUUUUCUCAUGGACAUGACCUUUCAUUACCAAAUCUGCCUUUGAGUGUUGCGACAUGUAUGCACACACCAUUUAUUUAUUCAUUCAUUCAUAUUUUAAACCUUCCAGUACAUUUAAAACAACAACAAAAAAAUUAAAACCAACCAACCAAAAAAUAAAUAAAUAAAAACACACAACAAAAACCCCACAACAAACAAACAAACCACAACACUCUUGGUUUCAAGAGAAUGGAUAAAUUCAGGAUUAGGGGAGUUCUGAAGUGAUUAAGACUUAAGGAAUGAUGGUUCUGCUACAAUGUCCACUUGAUAGUGGUCCUGCAAUACACUAUUAUAAAUGUAAACUCUAGUACCCUAGGAUGGAGUAUCCUUGAGAUCCAGCUGUAAAAAUUAAGAUCCACUUGCAAAAUCUUGAUGUCAAAGCUUGAUCUGGAGCACUUUUGCAGUAAGAAACCUGUAACUAAGUGUUACUUUAAUAAGGAUUUCCCAUCUUUCUUCAGAGUGAGUUGCAUCUCACUUUACCUCUGUAAAAAGUAUGUCUUGAAGCUAAGCUGAUCUAGACUCACAGAAGAUAAACCAACCUGAUAGAGGUAUUUUGGACUAGUGGGACAAAUUGCCCUUUGGAAGCUACCUCUCCUGUGAAGGGUUCAAGACAACAUCUUUAGUGGCAGAGCAGACAGUAAGCCAUGGAGGUGUAAUGAGAAACUGCCAGGUGAGAUGAACCUUAUCCUUCCUAAAUCACCUAGUGCUAAUUUCCAAUAUAGAGCUAGAUAAGAUUUUCUUCUAUGUGGUCUAUUAAGAUCACCCUCAUUUUUGAUGAGAGAGCAUUACUGACUGCCUCUGCUGGGCACAACAAGUUGCAGCCAGGCAGCUGACUAUCAGAGAAAUUAUGCUGUUCAUGUUCUAGCUGGAUGGUGGCUACUAAUUGGGUAGUAGCGCAAAUUACAUCUUGAC